GUCGCACGAGAAAGGGGAGCAAUCCCUGAGUAAAGUGGCGCACGGGUGAGUAACACGUGAAUCAUCUACCUCCGAGUGGGGAAUAACCUAGAGAAAUCUGGGCUAAUACCGCAUAACACUUACGAGUCAAAGCAGCAAUGCGCUUGGAGAGGAGUUCGCGGCCGAUUAGCUAGUUGGCGGGGUAAUGGCCCACCAAGGCGAUGAUCGGUAUCCGGCCUGAGAGGGCGCACGGACACACUGGAACUGAAACACGGUCCAGACUCCUACGGGAGGCAGCAGUGGGGAAUUUUGCGCAAUGGGGGAAACCCUGACGCAGCAACGCCGCGUGGAGGAUGAAAUAUCUUGGUAUGUAAACUCCUUUCGAUGGGGAAGAUUAUGACGGUACCCAUAGAAGAAGCCCCGGCUAACUUCGUGCCAGCAGCCGCGGUAAUACGAGGGGGGCAAGCGUUGUUCGGAUUUAUUGGGCGUAAAGGGUGCGUAGGCGGUUUGGCAAGUCUUAUGUGAAAUCUUCGGGCUCAACCCGAAGCCUGCAUAAGAAACUGCCGGGCUUGAGUAUGGGAGAGGUGAGUGGAAUUUCCGGUGUAGCGGUGAAAUGCGUAGAUAUCGGAAGGAACACCUGUGGCGAAAGCGGCUCACUGGACCAUAACUGACGCUGAUGCACGAAAGCUAGGGGAGCAAACGGGAUUAGAUACCCUGGUAGUCCUAGCC
This 708-nucleotide ribosomal RNA is filed under the name uncultured bacterium. Its description in RNAcentral is "bacterial SSU rRNA". It matches the Rfam family "Bacterial small subunit ribosomal RNA", at positions 61 to 801 of the family's 1533-position model. The record is from RNAcentral.